Molecule: small nucleolar RNA, 133 nt
Organism: Tupaia belangeri (northern tree shrew)
Lineage: Eukaryota; Metazoa; Chordata; Mammalia; Scandentia; Tupaiidae
Source: Ensembl
GCAUGGGUUUGAAUUUAUGGCAGGCUCGUUCCCCUGGGCCUCUCAUAGUACCCCAUGCCAAAGCAAACUCGUCCCAAACCAUUACCCAGUCUGCCUGUGGGCUGCUGGCACUGGCAGGUAGCAUGGAACAGGG